AACAAACGCUGGCGGCAUGCCUAACACAUGCAAGUCGAACGAGACCUUCGGGUCUAGUGGCGCACGGGUGCGUAACGCGUGGGAACCUGCCCUUAGGUUCGGAAUAACUCCCCGAAAGGGGUGCUAAUACCGGAUAAUGUCUUCGGACCAAAGAUUUAUCGCCUUUGGAUGGGCCCGCGUUGGAUUAGCUAGUUGGUAGGGUAAAAGCCUACCAAGGCGACGAUCCAUAGCUGGUCUGAGAGGAUGAUCAGCCACACUGGGACUGAGACACGGCCCAGACUCCUACGGGAGGCAGCAGUGGGGAAUAUUGGACAAUGGGCGAAAGCCUGAUCCAGCAAUGCCGCGUGAGUGAUGAAGGCCUUAGGGUUGUAAAGCUCUUUUACCCGGGAUGAUAAUGACAGUACCGGGAGAAUAAGCGCCGGCUAACUCCGUG
Molecule: ribosomal RNA, 433 nt
Filed under: uncultured bacterium
Lineage: Bacteria
Description: partial 16S ribosomal RNA
Rfam family: Bacterial small subunit ribosomal RNA
Source: RNAcentral